Molecule: ribosomal RNA, 253 nt
Filed under: uncultured prokaryote
Description: partial 16S ribosomal RNA
Rfam family: Bacterial small subunit ribosomal RNA
Source: RNAcentral
ACGAACCGUGCGAACGUUGUUCGGAAUCACUGGGCUUAAAGGGCGCGUAGGCGGCCGUCCGAGUCCGGGGUGAAAUCUUUCGGCCCAACCGGAAAAGGGCCUCGGAUACCGGGCGGCUCGAGGGGGGUAGGGGCACGCGGAACCUCCGGUGGAGCGGUGAAAUGCGUUGAUAUCGGAAGGAACGCCGGCGGCGAAAGCGGCGUGCUGGACCCCGCCUGACGCUGACGCGCGAAAGCCAGGGGAGCGAACGGGA